Myotis daubentonii (Daubenton's bat) is the source of this 2551-nucleotide long non-coding RNA. RefSeq lists it as uncharacterized. The record is from RefSeq and is a predicted model, not a curated record. NCBI's taxonomy places the organism in Eukaryota, Metazoa, Chordata, Mammalia, Chiroptera, Vespertilionidae.
GCGGGGCGUGGGAGGGCGGGGCCACUGCGCAGCUGCGGCGCCCGCGACCCGGACGGUCCUCCUGCUGGGCCAGCGCUGGCCGGGAGGGCCGGUAUGGCUGCUGUUUGUUUAACCCUCCGGUGUGUUGUCGGCGCUCUCCGGACACGGUUGCACCGUGUCUGCCGCAGCCCUCGUUGUGCAUCGGAGGAAACGGAAAUCCAGAAAAGUCAAGUACCUCACUCGGCCGCUGUCGCGCUGGACUGGGACCGGCUCCAGGCAAUCGACUGUCAGAUUCCAAAGCUGUUUUUUUCCAUGACACCAGCGCAGCCCCUGUCUCAACAAGGUCUGAAAUGACAGCAGACAAAAAUGAGUAUUGCUGCGGUGUUCAUCCAAGCCCUCGUGCCGGGUUUGGCCAUUUGAAGAUUCACAUAUAUGUGAGAUCGUAUGGUAUUUGUCUUCUGCUGUCUGACUUGUUUCACUUGGCAUAAUAAUGCCCUUGAGGUUGACUUCCACUGGCACCAACUCGUGAGGCAGUUGCUGGUGGUCUGGGCCAUUUCUUUGAUAUUUUUACAACGGUACCGAGUCUGAAAGAGCCUUCAUAAAAAUGAAAUUGGCUUCUGUGCUGAAUGAAUUUCAAUCAGAUUUCAAAAUGAACAUGCAAAACAGUAAAGGAAGAGGCAAAUGAACAUUUCUCACUUGAAUGUGGUGCAGUGUGAAGAUGAUGAGGAAUUCACUGCUGUUAGAGAAGACCUACUUCUGGAACAAGUUUUGAAUGAAAUGUCUAAAGCGCUUUCCUUGCAUUUACAUUGCAUACAUUUUAGAAAAUCGGUUUUAUAUUAAAUUCGGUUUCAAAAACUAUUUUCGAAAGAAUCAAAAUCUUUCGAAACUCUUUAGGAAUGUGUAUGUCAUUGAGAUCUGUGACCGGGCUCUCUUUGAUAAGGUUCACGAACACUUUAAUGAAAUGUGAAUAUAUAGCUUCCUUAAGGAGAUCAUGAUGAACCCAUGAGUGGGCUGGAGACAAGUAUAGGAUUUUUCUCCAAAGAGGACAAAAAUGGAGCAGUGAUUAAAGGGAGUAGUGGAGUCAAGCAAGACAGUUUUUGAAAGAUGGGAGAAAAAAGCAUUUUCCCUGAUAGGAAUUUUCUAGGGAACCCUUACAGAAAGGAUGUGUAAUAGUGACCCGUGAGUUCCCUUGAAAUGUUGGAUGACAGUAGAGGCAGGGGGUGGGGAGUUAAAAUGCAAGUCACCUCCUGAGAGCAGCCGCAAUCUGCACCCCAAAACACUGUGGUUGUGGUUGUGGUUGUGGUUGUGGUUGUGGUUGCCGUGGGCGAUUAAGAUUCCCCUCACAAUUAAUCAUACCCAUUUGCUCAGGAGCCGCAGCGCACUACGCACUGCUUCCUCGUUAGUUACGACUUCUAUAGCGGGAUGGAUGGAUGUAAGACCAAGCAGACAUGCUUGCGUUUUAUCUACAUUGGAGGUCAGUAUACAUUACCAUAGUGGGUGCUGUGUAUGUAUACACAUGAUAGUAGUACGUGUGACUAUAUGAUAUAUAUAUUAUAUAUACACCAGAGGCCCAGUGUGCACGAAAUUGUGUGCAAGUAGCUUGCCUCAGCUGGCCGCCCUGCCCAUUGCCACUCAUAGCUCUCCACCGCUCGUAGCUCGCACUGCACCCUGCCAGGCCCCACCUGCUGCGAGAGCUGCUGCUGGUUUGGUCGUUACAGCCACAGGCCUUUUAUAAUAUAGAUAAUGCAUAUGUAUGAAGUAUAGAUACAUAAUGUGCAUAUGCAUUGUAUAGUGAUGUUUGUUUGUUUGUUUGUUUUUUGGUUAAUCCUCGCCUGAGGGUAUUUUCCCAUUGACUUUUAGAGAGAGAGUGGAAGGGAAUGGGAGAAAUAGAGAGAGAGACAUCAAUGUGAGAGAGACACAUUGAUUGGUUGCCUCCCACAUGGACCCAGACUGGGCCGGGAACCUGGGGACUGAGUCUGCAACUGAGGUACAUGCCCUUGACCAGAAUCAAACCCGGGACUUUUCAGUCCUCGGGCCGACACUCUGUCCACUGAGCCAAACCAGCCAGGGCUGGUCUGUAUCAAUCCAGUUCUGGUCAACCCCAGAAAGUUCUUUCCAAUCAGUUCUCCCCUGUUAUUCGUCCUAGGGCUCUGGUUUAAGGUCUGUCUCAUUGCUUCUGACUUGGAUUAUUACAAUACCCCUCUUGAGCCCAUGUGUCUUCCCAUCUGUCAUGCAUUCUACCAGAAUAAUCUUUCUAAAAGUAUUAGUUUAUAAUUCAUCUUUUCCACCAGACUGUGUGUUCUUGCUUACUUAGGACAUGACAGAUGUUUAAAAAUAUUUGUUCAAAUGGGGAACAUCUGUCAUAGUGUCAACAAUUUAAAAAAAAACGUUUGGCGCCCUGACUGGUUUGGCUCAGUGGAUAGAGUGUCGGCCUGUGGACUGAGGGGUUCCAGGUUCGAUUCCGGCCAGGGGCAUGUGCCUUGGUUGUGGGCACAUCCCCAGUGGGGGACGUGCAGGAGGUGGCUGAUUGAUGUUUCUCUCUCAUCAAUGUUUCUGACUCUCUAUCCCUUUC